Long non-coding RNA from Lacerta agilis (Sand lizard), 611 nucleotides. RefSeq lists it as uncharacterized. The record is from RefSeq and is a predicted model, not a curated record. NCBI's taxonomy places the organism in Eukaryota, Metazoa, Chordata, Lepidosauria, Squamata, Lacertidae. The transcript has 3 exons.
UCAAAUAAAUGCUUUGGAUUGGGAUGUAGAAUUACAUGAUUUACAAAGAAGCUAAGAUAUGCUAACAGGAGCUUUACAACUAAAUUGUUUCACAAAGAUGCGACAUAUUGACAUGCUAAACCCAAGACGUAUUGUCUAAGAAAAGAGCGUUAUAAAAGCAACUUUUAUUAGCUUUACUGCAGCCUUGCAAAAUUAUUGAUUAUUUUAAUCAAAUUGAGUCUAAUCCCACAUGCAGGCAUUUUCAAUGUCUGGACCAGUUAUAACAUUUUAAACACUUUGUCCCAUUUUUUUCUGAUUCUAUUCUUCAUAUAUUGAUUUUAAUAUGAUGAGUGCAUCCAGCACUGAUAAUUGUGGCACAGUGUGUGUGUCAUUCUUUCAACAAAUGACAAAUCCUCUUCCCAGUGCUGUGCUACAAGGAUUGGAGAAACAACCUGUCUACAAUGACCAAAUAAUUCAGCAGCAUAGAACAGAAUGAAAGCCAGCAUUCGGAGGCUCCCAUCCUCCUUUUCCAGAUGAAAGAUAACCAGAACUAGGCUGAAGAUUAAGGGAAGUUUUACAGAGACUGUUGGGAAAUCCUUGUUUCAGUAAAUGCCAGUGAUGGAUUAAAGAAA